Molecule: long non-coding RNA, 427 nt
Filed under: Chinchilla lanigera (long-tailed chinchilla)
Lineage: Eukaryota; Metazoa; Chordata; Mammalia; Rodentia; Chinchillidae
Description: lncRNA (ENSCLAG00000025255.1)
Source: RNAcentral
UCCUGACACUCCCCUGGUGAGUUGAGUGAGAUAAAUAGCAGGAAACAAGGGCAUGACACAGGCCUCUAGCAGUGUGUGUGUCAUGUGAAUGUGUGUCAUACAACUCACAUCCAAGAAGGUCAUUCACAUAGAAGACUGGGAAUCAGCAUCCGUGGAACAAAGAGGAAGACAACUGCUGUGUGCUCUCUGGGAAGACGCAAAGGUGGCCCAGAUUCUCAAUGGAUUGACAAUGCUGUUCCUCGGGGUGACAGUGGCCCCUUUUAUUUCCACUGAAGUGAGGCUUCCCCCUCUGACUGGAAUUCGCUACCACCUGUGGGCACCUUUCCCUGUGAGUAUCAGUGAUGGUUCAUCUGCCUCCAAUCUCAGCUGUCUGCAGACACCUGCACCCUCUCCCUGGGAAUCCCGUGCAGUUCUCUCCGGAUCCUGA